CACGUAGGGCGCAAGCGUUGUCCGGAAUUAUUGGGCGUAAAGAGCUCGUAGGUGGUUUGUUACGUCUGCUGUGAAAACCUAGGGCUUAACCCUGGGCUUGCAGUGGAUACGGGCAGACUAGAGGUAGGUAGGGGAGAAUGGAAUUCCUGGUGUAGCGGUGAAAUGCGCAGAUAUCAGGAGGAACACCAAUGGCGAAGGCAGCUCGCUGGGACGGUACUGACGCUGAGACGCGAAAGCGUGGGGAGCGAACAGG
RNAcentral lists this ribosomal RNA (253 nucleotides) under uncultured bacterium. Its description in RNAcentral is "partial 16S ribosomal RNA". It matches the Rfam family "Bacterial small subunit ribosomal RNA", at positions 524 to 776 of the family's 1533-position model. The record is from RNAcentral.